This 254-nucleotide ribosomal RNA is filed under the name uncultured bacterium. RNAcentral's name for it is "partial 16S ribosomal RNA". It matches the Rfam family "Bacterial small subunit ribosomal RNA", at positions 524 to 776 of the family's 1533-position model. The record is from RNAcentral.
CACGUAGGGGGCGAGCGUUGUCCGGAUUUAUUGGGCGUAAAGAGCUCGUAGGCGGUGUGUCGCGUCGGCCGUGAAAACCUGCAGCUUAACUGUGGGCUUGCGGUCGAUACGGGCAUCACUGGAGUUCGGCAGGGGAGACUGGAAUUCCUGGUGUAGCGGUGAAAUGCGUAGAUAUCGGGAGGAACAUCAGUGGCGAAGGCGGCCUUCUGGUCCAGUACUGACACUCAAGUGCGAAAGCGUGGGGAGCAAACAGG